Molecule: long non-coding RNA, 358 nt
Organism: Pezoporus flaviventris
Lineage: Eukaryota; Metazoa; Chordata; Aves; Psittaciformes; Psittacidae
Exons: 3
Source: RefSeq, a predicted model, not a curated record
CUGAGCUGGCAACAUACCAGCUCCGUUUCCUGUUCCAUAUCAAACAUUCACUACAGCACAUCUCCCCAUGUGGAAAGAAGGAAUGUGACAGAAAGACCAAUUUAUGCUGAAGCAGACCAGACACUCCACCGGUCAUCCUGAGCUGCUGAGAGGCGAAUAUAAAGAACUGAGGAACACGAGUCUGUCUCCCUCUACUGGACCCAAAUUAAGGCUUGGAUUUGAAAUGAGAUCACAUGGUAAUUUCUUGGUAUGCCCAAACAUCAGACAAAAAAAUGAAUGAACCCUUGAGUUGUAAACCUGACCCAGACCAGACUGCAUCACACAGGCUGCAUCUAUGAGGAACAUGAAGCAAUUUGGG